This 1029-nucleotide long non-coding RNA is filed under the name Nothobranchius furzeri (turquoise killifish). Its description in RNAcentral is "lncRNA (ENSNFUG00015010046.1)". Lineage: Eukaryota; Metazoa; Chordata; Actinopteri; Cyprinodontiformes; Nothobranchiidae. The record is from RNAcentral.
AUGGUGCUUUUGCAGCAACAUGUUAGAUGUUCAGCUAAUCAACAUCAACAGUCAUUGCCUCCCAGCUGCAGGUUGUUGCCUCCCAGCUGCAGGUACCUCACAGACACAUAUCGGUGUUGCCUCCCAGCUGCAGGUACCUCACAGACACAUAUCGGUGUUGCCUCCCAGCUGCAGGUACCUCACAGACACAUAUCGGUGUUGCCUCCCAGCUGCAGGUACCUCACAGACACAUAUCGGUGUUGCCUCCCAGCUGCAGGUACCUCACAGACACAUAUCGGUGUUGCCUCCCAGCUGCAGGUACCUCACAGACACAUAUCGGUGUUGCCUCCCAGCUGCAGGUACCUCACAGACACAUAUCGGUGUUGCCUCCCAGCUGCAGGUACCUCACAGACACAUAUCGGUGUUGCCUCCCAGCUGCAGGUACCUCACAGACACAUAUCGGUGUUGCCUCCCAGCUGCAGGUACCUCACAGACACAUAUCGGUGUUGCCUCCCAGCUGCAGGUACCUCACAGACACAUAUCGGUGUUGCCUCCCAGCUGCAGGUACCUCACAGACACAUAUCGGUGUUGCCUCCCAGCUGCAGGUUGUUGCCUCCCAGCUUUGGUUACCUCACAGACACAGAUCGUUGUUGCCUCCCAGCUGCAGGUUGUUGCCUCCCAGCUGCAGGUUGUUGCCUCCCAGAUUCAGGUGUUACAUCACAGACACAGAUCGUUGUUGCCUCCCAGCUGCAGGUUGUUGCCUCCCAGAUUCAGGUGUUACAUCACAGACGCAGAUCGUUGUGGCCUCCCAGCUGCAGGUUGCUCUUCUCUUUCUUAGGAUUCCAGACCAUAAUUCCUCUCAGGCCGACCGAAUUGGGUCGCCAGCUUUUUCGGUUCCUGUCUCCAUUGAGUAUGUUGCUGCUGUACGCUGUUACGUCACUGCGGCUGCUCAUCAGCCUGAUCAACAGUCGAAACACGUCUUGUGCAGCAGUUUGUUGUGGUCGGUGUCGUUCCGUGCUCGUCGCGCGCUACCGGAGCUGCUCCCAGUGA